Molecule: ribosomal RNA, 214 nt
Filed under: uncultured bacterium
Lineage: Bacteria
Description: partial 16S ribosomal RNA
Rfam family: Bacterial small subunit ribosomal RNA
Source: RNAcentral
UACAGAGGUCCCGAGCGUUGUUCGGAUUCAUUGGGCGUAAAGGGUGCGUAGGCGGCUUCCUAAGUUUGAUGUGAAAUCCUGGGGCUCAACCCUGGAACUGCAUUGAAUACUGGGAGGCUAGAGUACUGGAGAGGAAACUGGAAUUUACGGUGUAGCAGUGAAAUGCGUAGAGAUCGUAAGGAAGACCAGUGGCGAAGGCGAGUUUCUGGACAGU